This 87-nucleotide transfer RNA is filed under the name Rhodovulum visakhapatnamense. Its description in RNAcentral is "tRNA-Ser". The stretch from base 5 to 82 matches the Rfam family "tRNA", at positions 5 to 66 of the family's 71-position model. Rfam says of the family: Transfer RNA (tRNA) molecules are approximately 80 nucleotides in length. Their secondary structure includes four short double-helical elements and three loops (D, anti-codon, and T loops). Lineage: Bacteria; Pseudomonadati; Pseudomonadota; Alphaproteobacteria; Rhodobacterales; Paracoccaceae. The record is from RNAcentral.
ACAAACGUGGCCGAGUGGUCGAAGGCACUCCCCUGCUAAGGGAGUAGGCCCGAAAGGGUCUCGUGGGUUCGAAUCCCAUCGUCUCCG